This is a long non-coding RNA of Herpailurus yagouaroundi (jaguarundi), 178 nucleotides long. RefSeq lists it as uncharacterized. The transcript is spliced from 3 exons. NCBI's taxonomy places the organism in Eukaryota, Metazoa, Chordata, Mammalia, Carnivora, Felidae. The record is from RefSeq and is a predicted model, not a curated record.
GCUCUUCCGCUCUCGAAUGGCACUACUUUAGGGACAUUCUAGUAUUUGCUUCUAUUGUUUGGGCCUUGUGGAUAAUGUACAGAUUUAAAAACAAAUCUUGUUGCUGAUUUGUCCAUUUCUUUUCCUGCACUUUGUUACAUCUGGGAUACGGUCUAACUCAUCUGAUUUAAUAUGCAUU